Molecule: unclassified non-coding RNA, 269 nt
Filed under: Hevea brasiliensis (rubber tree)
Lineage: Eukaryota; Viridiplantae; Streptophyta; Magnoliopsida; Malpighiales; Euphorbiaceae
Source: RNAcentral
AUGAGUUGAGUCCAAUUGGAAUUAGUGGUCCGAUUUGAUAAUCUAAUCCUAUUUAGCCCGCUUGUUAAGAAAAGUUAUAAAUUUUUUUUAUCAUUAGAUUCCAUCAAAUCUAAAGCCCGAACGCAUUGUUUUCGAUUUCAAAUUAUCCUUAAAAUCAGGAUUAUGCCAUUCAAUUUAAGACCCUCUCAACCAAAAUCGUUAAUCGGUAUGUGGCUAGGACUACUAUGGGCUACAUGCCAAAACACAAAAGUUGAAGGUCUCAAUUAAAA